This 1459-nucleotide ribosomal RNA is filed under the name uncultured bacterium. RNAcentral's name for it is "bacterial SSU rRNA". It matches the Rfam family "Bacterial small subunit ribosomal RNA". The record is from RNAcentral.
AAUGAACGUUGGCGGCGUGCCUAACACAUGCAAGUUGAGCGUGAAAGCUCCUUCGGGAGUGAGUAGAGCAGCGGACUGGUGAGUAACGCGUGAGAACCUGCCCUGCAGUGAAGAAUAACACCGAGAAAUUGGUGCUAAUGCUGCAUAAGUCCCUACGGGGAAAAGGUAGCUUUAUGCUGCCGCUGGGGGAUGGGCUUGCGUACUAUUAGCUUGUUGGUGGGGUAAAGGCCUACCAAGGCGAUGAUGGUUAACCGGCCUGAGAGGGUGUACGGUCACAUUGGAACUGAGAUACGGUCCAGACUCCUACGGGAGGCAGCAGUGAGGAAUAUUGCGCAAUGGACGAAAGUCUGACGCAGCGACGCCGCGUGAAGGAUGAAGGUCUUCGGAUUGUAAACUUCUGUUAAGUGGGAAGAAAUCCCGGGUAACCGGGGAUGACGGUACCACUAGAGAAAGCACCGGCUAACUUCGUGCCAGCAGCCGCGGUAAGACGAGGGGUGCAAACGUUAUUCGGAAUUACUGGGUGUAUAGGGUGCGUAGACGGUGAAUCAAGCUCACUGUUAAAUCCUCCGGCCUAACCGGAGAUAUGCAGAGGGAACUGAUUCGCUAGAGGAUGGAAGAGAGAAGUGGAAUUCCCGGAGUAGCGGUGGAAUGCGUAGAUCUCGGGAGGAACACCAAUGGCGUAGGCAGCUUCUUGGUCCAUUCCUGACGUUGAGGCACGAAAGCGUGGGGAGCAAACAGGAUUAGAUACCCUGGUAGUCCACGCUGUAAACGAUGGUCACUGGACGUUGGGCCGGCUUUGCUGGUUCAGUGUCGUAGCUAACGCGUUAAGUGAUCCACCUGGGGAGUACGGCCGCAAGGUUAAAACUCAAAGGAAUUGACGGGGGUCCGCACAAGCGGUGGAACAUGUGGUUUAAUUCGACACUACGCGAGGAACCUUACCUGGGCUUGACAUGUAUCUGACACCUGUAGAAAUACAGUCUUUUGGGCUUCGGCCCAGACAGAUACACAGGUGCUGCAUGGCUGUCGUCAGCUCGUGUCGUGAGAUGUUGGGUUAAGUCCUUUAACGAGCGCAACCCUUGCUGUCAGUUGCUAAUUACCUUCGGGUAAAGCACUCUGGCGGGACUGCCUGGGAAACCAGGAGGAAGGUGGGGACGACGUCAAGUCAUCAUGGUCCUUAUGUCCAGGGCUACACACGUGUUACAAUGGUUGGUACAAUGGGCUGCGAUUCCGCAAGGAGGAGCUAAUCCCACAAAGCCAAUCUAAGUUCGGAUUGAGGUCUGCAACUCGACCUCAUGAAGUUGAAAUCGCUAGUAAUCGCGUAUCAGCAACGACGCGGUGAAUACGUUCUCGGACCUUGUACACACCGCCCGUCACACCACGAAAGUUGUCUGUACCCGAAAUCGCUUUAACCAACCCGUAAGGGGGGUGGGCGCUUAAGGUGUGGGCAAUGAUUGGGGUG